AUGGAACGCUGGCGGCAGGCUUAACACAUGCAAGUCGAGCGGAGAGAGGUAGCUUGCUACUGAUCUUAGCGGCGGACGGGUGAGUAAUACUUAGGAAUCUGGCUAUUAGUGGGGGACAACAUUUCGAAAGGGAUGCUAAUACCGCAUACGUCCUACGGGAGAAAGCAGGGGAUCUUCGGACCUUGCGCUAAUAGAUGAGCCUAAGUCGGAUUAGCUAGUUGGUGGGGUAAAGGCCUACCAAGGCGACGAUCUGUAGCGGGUCUGAGAGGAUGAUCCGCCACACUGGGACUGAGACACGGCCCAGACUCCUACGGGAGGCAGCAGUGGGGAAUAUUGGACAAUGGGGGGAACCCUGAUCCAGCCAUGCCGCGUGUGUGAA
RNAcentral lists this ribosomal RNA (379 nucleotides) under uncultured bacterium. RNAcentral describes it as "bacterial SSU rRNA". It matches the Rfam family "Bacterial small subunit ribosomal RNA", at positions 31 to 409 of the family's 1533-position model. The record is from RNAcentral.